Molecule: non-coding RNA, 74 nt
Organism: Aedes albopictus (Asian tiger mosquito)
Lineage: Eukaryota; Metazoa; Arthropoda; Insecta; Diptera; Culicidae
Source: Rfam
UGUUCUGUGGGUUAGUUGGUUAAAGCGUCGGUUCAGCGAAUACGGAGUUGUGGGUUCGAAUCCCACCAGAAUGC